AUGAUGGCUUAGAUCCUGUACACAUAUGCUGAAAACUGGAGGGCCUUCAAAGCCCUCAUCACUGCUCAAUACAGCAGGGCUCAGGUCUGCAUGCUCUCUGCACCAUCCCCACUUCCACUUUGGCCAAACCAAUCACAAACCUAAAUUUCUUUUCAAAUUUCCUGCUGGCAAGAUUCCAGCAUUUGAUGGUGACAGUGGAGCCUGUGUGUUUAAGAGUAAUGUCAUUACCUACUGUGUGAGCAAUGAGGAGCUGCAGGAAAGUACUCCAGAAGCAGAAGCCCAGGUGGUGCAGUGGAUAGGCUUUGCUGAUAACAACAUAGUGCCCUUAGCCAGUACUUGGUUGUUCCCUACCUUGGGCAUCGUGCACCACAACAAAUAGGCCACUAAGAAUGCAAAAGAGGACAUGAGGUGAAUUCUGGAGCUGCUGGAUGCUCACUUGAAGAUGAGGACUUUUCUGGUGGGUGAAUGAGUAACUGGCUGACAUCACAGUUGUCUGCACCUUGUUAUGGCUCUAUAAGCAGGUGCUGGAGCCUUCUUUCCACCAAGCCUUUCUCAGUAUCAACCCUUGGCUCCUCAUCUGCAUUAACCAGACCCAGUUGCGGGCUGUCUUGGAAUAAGUGAAACUGUGUGAGAAGAUGGCCCAGUUUGAUGCUAAAAAUUCUACAGAGAGCCCGACUAAAAACGACACCCAUGGAAAGGGAAAGGUUCGUUAAAAGAGAAGCAGACGCCUCAGGCUGAACAGAAAGAGGAAAAAGUGUGGCUUCCCUUGCUUCUGAGGAGGAGAUGGAUGAAUGUGAGCAGGCACCGGCUGCUGAGCCCAAGGCCAAGGGCCUCUUUGCUCAGCUGCCCAAGGGUACUUUUGUGUUGGGUGAAUUUACACCCAAGUGCUCCAGUGAGGACACACUGUGUCACUGCCAUAUUUUUGGAAGCACUCUGUUAAGGAUGGCUGGUCCCUAUGGUUCUCUGAGUAUCACUUCCCUGAAGAGCUCACUCAGACCUUCAUGAGCUGCAACCUCAUCACUGAAAUGUUCCAGUGACUAGACAAGCUGAGGAAGAACACCUUUGCCGUGUCAUCCUCUUUGGAACCAACAAUAGUAGCUCCAUUUCUGGAAUCUGGGUCUUCAGAGGCCAGGAGCUUGCCUUUCCCCUGAGUCCAGAUUGGCAGGUGGACUACAAGUCAUACACGUAGCAGAAACUGGAUCCUGGCAGUGAUGAGACCCAGAUGCAGGUUCAAGAGUACUUUUCCUGGGAUAGAGCCUUCCAGCAUGUGGGCAAAGCCUUCAAUCAGGGCAAAAUCGUCAAGUGAA
Molecule: long non-coding RNA, 1307 nt
Filed under: Homo sapiens (human)
Lineage: Eukaryota; Metazoa; Chordata; Mammalia; Primates; Hominidae
Description: non-protein coding lnc-SPTSSB-3:1
Source: RNAcentral